Molecule: ribosomal RNA, 1943 nt
Filed under: human gut metagenome
Description: bacterial LSU rRNA
Rfam family: Bacterial large subunit ribosomal RNA
Source: RNAcentral
GAAAGUAAUAAAGGGCGUAUGGGGGAUGCCUAGGCUCUUGGAGGCGAAGAAAGACGUGGUAAGCUGCGAUAAGCCUCGGGGAUUUGCAAACGAGAAUUGAUCCGAGGAUUUCUGAAUGGGACAACCCGGCAGGCAGAAGGCCUGUCACACGAAAGUGGGCCAACCCUCUGAACUGAAACAUCUUAGUAGGAGGAGGAAAAGAAAGAAACAUCGAUUUCCUAAGUAGCGGCGAGCGAACGGGAAACAGCCUAAACCACAAUUGUUACGGCAACUGUGGGGUUGUAGGACUGCAAUAUUCAAAUGACUGUGAACUGGAAUGUUCUGGAAAGUUCAUCCAUAGAGAGUGAAAGACUCGUACAGGCAAGCACGUCAGGCGAUAGCAGUAUCCUGAGUAGGGCGGGACACGAGGAAUCCUGUCUGAAUCCGCCGGGACCACCCGGUAAGGCUAAAUACUCCCAAGAGACCGAUAGUGAACCAGUACCGUGAGGGAAAGGUGAAAAGAACCCCGAACAGGGGAGUGAAAUAGAACCUGAAACCAUACGCUUACAACCUGUCGGAGCGGCUUCGUGCCGUGACGGCGUGCCUAUUGAAUAAUGAGCCUACGAGUUACUAAUCACUGGCAAGGUUAAGUGCACGGAUGCACGGAGCCGAAGCGAAAGCGAGUCUGAAUAGGGCGUUUAGUCAGUGGUUGUAGACGCGAAACCUUGCGAUCUACCCUUGAGCAGGUUGAAGGUUGGGUAAAACCAACUGGAGGACCGAACGAAUAAGCGUUGAAAAGCUUCUCGAUGACUUGAGGGUAGGGGUGAAAGGCUAAUCAAGCUGGGAAAUAGCUCGUACUCCCCGAAAUGCCUUUAGGGGCAGCGUUGUAAUUAAGAGUCUACUGGAGGUAGAGCUACUGAUUGGAUGCGGGGGCUUCACCGCCUACCAAAUCCUGACAAACUCCGAAUGCCAGUAGUAUGAUUUACAGCAGUGAGCGACCGGGUGCUAAUGUCCGGUUACGAGAGUGGAACAACACAGACCAGCAACUAAGGUCCCCAAGAGUAUACUAAGUUGAUCUAACGAUGUUUUGCUGCAGAGACAGCUAGGAUGUUAGCUUGGAAGCAGCUAUUCAUUCAAAGAGUGCGUAACAGCUCACUAGUCGAGCGGCAAAGCGUGGAUAAUAAACGGGCAUCAAGUAUACCACCGAAGUUCUGGGCACGAAAGUGCGGUAGGGGAGCAUUCCAUUCCGCGUUGAAGCCGAACCGUGAGGUUUGGUGGAGUGUAUGGAAAAGCAAAUGUAGGCAUGAGUAACGAUAAUGCGGGAGAGUAACCCGCACACCGCAAGACCAAGGUUUCCUGAUCAACGCUAAUCGGAUCAGGGUUAGUCGGGUCCUAAGGGUAAGCCGAACGGUGAUCUCGAUGGAUAAUCGGUUAAUAUUCCGAUACUGACAUAUACCUCGAUGGAGAGACGAAGGAACGUAAGUGCCGCCACCUGACGGAAUAGGUGGUUAAAGGGCUUAGGUAUAGGGGCAGAUUAAGAGUUAGUCCUUGCUGAAACCUGACAGUACAGAGAGCCUACGGGCAAUUUGAUAGUGCACCCAAGUCGACUUCCGAGAAAAUCUUCUAAGUUAUAGUAUAUGUCACCCGUACCGUAAACCGACACAGGUGGUCGAGGAGAGUAUCCUAAGGUGCUCGAGUGAAUCACGGUUAAGGAACUAGGCAAAUUAACCCCGUAACUUCGGGAAAAGGGGUCCCAUCGCGAGGUGGGCGCAGCGAAGAGGUCCAGGCGACUGUUUAUCAAAAACACAGGGCUCUGCAAAUUCGAAAGAAGACGUAUAGGGCCUGACACCUGCCCGGUGCUGGAAGGUUAAGAGGGGAUGUCAUCGCAAGAGAAGCAUUGAAUCGAAGCCCCAGUAAACGGCGGCCGUAACUAUAACGGUCCUAAGGUAGCGAAAUUCCUUGUC